CGUAGGUGCGAGCGUUGUCCGGAAUUACUGGGCGUAAGAGCUCGUAGGUGGUUUGUCGCGUUGUUCGUGAAACUCACAGCUUAACUGUGGGCGUGCGGGCGAUACGGGCAGACUGGAGUACUGUAGGGAGACUGGAAUUCCUGGUGUAGCGGUGGAAUGCGCAGAUAUCAGGAGGAACACCGGUGGCGAAGGCGGGUCUCUGGGCAGUAACUGACGCUGAGGAGCGAAAGCGUGGGGAGCGAACAGGAUU
Molecule: ribosomal RNA, 250 nt
Filed under: uncultured bacterium
Lineage: Bacteria
Description: partial 16S ribosomal RNA
Rfam family: Bacterial small subunit ribosomal RNA
Source: RNAcentral